CCCUUUAAAAAACUUUAUUUUUUUUUUUUCAUUAUAGCUGGUUUACAGUGUUCUGUCAAUUUUCUACUGUACAGCAUGGUGACCCAAUUACACAGACAUGUAUAGAUUCUUUUUUCUCACAUUAUCAUGCUGCAUCAUAAGUGACUAGAUAUAGUUCCCAUGCUACACAGCAGGAUCUCAUUGCUUAUCCAUUCCAAAGGCAAUAGUCUGCAUCUAUUAACCCCAAGUUCUCAAUCCAUCCCACUCUCUCCCCUCCCCAUUGGCAACCACGAGUCUAUUCUCCAAUCCAUGAGUUUCUUUUCUGUGGAAAGGCUCAUUUGUGCCAUAUUUUAGAUUCCAGAUAUGUGAUUAUCAUAGGGUAUUUGUCUUUCUCUUUCUGACUGACUUCACCUAGUAUGAGAGUCUCUAGUUCCAUCUGUGUUGCUGCAAAUUGCACUUUUUGUUCUUUUGUAUGGCUGAGUAGUAUUCCAUUUGAUGCUUUUAAUGACCAGUUUUCCCUGCUAGACUGAGAGCAACUUCAGGGCCUGGGGCCUGUUCUGUUUACAUAGGAUGGGCUUUAAAAAUCUUUGUUGAGUAAUUUCCAUGUAAAAUGUUCACCUAGGUAUACUUUCUUUUCUAUCUUUUUAGGGCUGCACCUGUCGCAUAUGGGAAGUUCCUGGGAUAGGGGAUGAAUCAGAGUUGCAGCUGCUGGCCUCCACCACAGCCCCGGCAAUGAGCAAUCUGAGCCAUGUCUGCAACCUACACCACAGCUCACAGCAAUGCCAGAUCCUUAACCCACUGAGCGAUGCCAGGGAUUGAACCCACAUCCUCAUGGAUACUAGUCAGGUUCUUAAUCUGCUGAGCCACAAUGGGAACUCCACCUAGGCAUACUUUCUAGACACAUUAAUGACAUCUGAGUAUACUGAAUCUGACCAGUGAGCAAGGGCUUCAUCCUAUUACCACUGUAAGUGGUCAGGAAGGAGAUGAAUCAGACUCAGCCCUGAUCCUCAGGAGCUCACCAUCUCUUGGGAGAGCCAGAUACUAAAUGCCUAGAAAGUGAUUUGAUGUGUACAAAACAUAGAUAGAACUUGGUGAAGUCGACUGGAGUGACUUCAAUUAGAACUGCAAUGUAUCAGUUACCUACUGCUGUGUAACAAACCAUCCCAAAACCCAAUGGCUUAAAACAACUAGCAUUCAUUAUUUCUCAAAAUUCUGUGGGUUGCCUGGGAGAUUUUGCACUGGGCCCAUCUGGGCUCUCUCAUGUGGCUCUAUUCAGCUAAUAUAUUAGCUGAGAGCUGGGCUCAACUGCAGUGGCUGGGUCUCCCCACUCUCCUUCAUCCUGGGCUGCUUCCUGGCAUGUUCUCAAGGUUCCAACAUGGUUGAGGCCUGAGCUUUGGAACUUGCAACAUGUCACUUCCAACACAUUCUGUUGAUGGAAGCAAGUCACAAGACCAGCCCAGAUACCAAGUGUGAAGAGUAGUUCCAAAAAUUUGUAGCCAAACUUAACCUACCACAUGGGUUUUGAGGUGGUAAAGUUUUCCCAGCAUCUAAGGAGCAGCGUCAAGAUGGAGAGGGCACUGAGGGUGAGGUAUAGAGAUGGGAAUAAACAGGAUAUGGCUGGACAACACUCCAGGCUUAGUGUGACUAGGGAGGUAAAUAUUGGGAGUUGAAGAUGCAAAGAUAAAUUAGAGGUUCCUGGGAAAGGCCUUGAAUGCCAUACUUGGAAUUUUAAGUUGAUCCUUUGAAAGUUUUGACAAGUCCCUAUCUGUUUUCAAGAGCUCACUGUAGCAGCUCCUACAUGGUACAGAUGCUGGAGAGGGCAAGAGUGAAGGAACCAGGGAUGGGGUACAGUGAUCCACGAGAGAGGGGUGAGGCCCGGGUCAGAACUGUGCCAGGGUCGUCACAAGGGCAGGGAUGCUGUCCUCAUGGCUUGGUGACUUACUGGAUACUCUGUAUGUUCACCUUUCAGGCUCUUUGUCUUCCUUGCUAAGUUAGAGGGGCUUGGCAGGGGCCAGGGGCGGCUGGAUGAGUGAAGAGGGAGGGCAGUAUGAGUGGGAAGUGACGGGAGAGGCCUGACCAUAUUCCUCUCCAGACUGAGCAACUCCUGUCCCACUUGUGGCUGAGAGUCCAAGGCCUGGCCUGGAGCAGACAUCCCUCCCGGUGGGCCAAUGACUCAAGUUUGUUAACUCCUUUUCUUCAAGUUCCCUAAAAACUCUUUUCUUCCUAGCAGAAAUGUCAUUUAGGAGUUCCCGUCAUGGCUGAGUGGUUAACGAAUCCGACUGGGAACCA
RNAcentral lists this long non-coding RNA (2268 nucleotides) under Sus scrofa (pig). Its description in RNAcentral is "lncRNA (ENSSSCG00015064483.1)". The record is from RNAcentral. Lineage: Eukaryota; Metazoa; Chordata; Mammalia; Artiodactyla; Suidae.